This 779-nucleotide ribosomal RNA is filed under the name uncultured bacterium. Its description in RNAcentral is "bacterial SSU rRNA". It matches the Rfam family "Bacterial small subunit ribosomal RNA", at positions 80 to 842 of the family's 1533-position model. The record is from RNAcentral.
UUUACAUUUGAGUGAGUGGCGAACUGGUGAGUAACACGUGGGAAACCUGCCCAGAAGCGGGGGAUAACACCUGGAAACAGAUGCUAAUACCGCAUAACAACUUGGACCGCAUGGUCCGAGCUUGAAAGAUGGCUUCGGCUAUCACUUUUGGAUGGUCCCGCGGCGUAUUAGCUAGAUGGUGGGGUAACGGCUCACCAUGGCAAUGAUACGUAGCCGACCUGAGAGGGUAAUCGGCCACAUUGGGACUGAGACACGGCCCAAACUCCUACGGGAGGCAGCAGUAGGGAAUCUUCCACAAUGGACGAAAGUCUGAUGGAGCAACGCCGCGUGAGUGAAGAAGGGUUUCGGCUCGUAAAACUCUGUUGUUAAAGAAGAACAUAUCUGAGAGUAACUGUUCAGGUAUUGACGGUAUUUAACCAGAAAGCCACGGCUAACUACGUGCCAGCAGCCGCGGUAAUACGUAGGUGGCAAGCGUUGUCCGGAUUUAUUGGGCGUAAAGCGAGCGCAGGCGGUUUUUUAAGUCUGAUGUGAAAGCCUUCGGCUCAACCGAAGAAGUGCAUCGGAAACUGGGAAACUUGAGUGCAGAAGAGGACAGUGGAACUCCAUGUGUAGCGGUGAAAUGCGUAGAUAUAUGGAAGAACACCAGUGGCGAAGGCGGCUGUCUGGUCUGUAACUGACGCUGAGGCUCGAAAGUAUGGGUAGCAAACAGGAUUAGAUACCCUGGUAGUCCAUACCCGGUAAACGAUGAAUGCUAAGUGUUGGAGGGUUUCCGCCCUUCA